Molecule: transfer RNA, 79 nt
Filed under: Acidobacteria bacterium RIFCSPHIGHO2_02_FULL_67_57
Lineage: Bacteria; Pseudomonadati; Acidobacteriota
Also listed under: 2 other names
Description: tRNA-Pro
Rfam family: tRNA
About the family: Transfer RNA (tRNA) molecules are approximately 80 nucleotides in length. Their secondary structure includes four short double-helical elements and three loops (D, anti-codon, and T loops). Further hydrogen bonds mediate the characteristic L-shaped molecular structure. tRNAs have two regions of fundamental functional importance: the anti-codon, which is responsible for specific mRNA codon recognition, and the 3' end, to which the tRNAs corresponding amino acid is attached (by aminoacyl-tRNA synthetases). tRNAs cope with the degeneracy of the genetic code in two manners: having more than one tRNA (with a specific anti-codon) for a particular amino acid; and 'wobble' base-pairing, i.e. permitting non-standard base-pairing at the 3rd anti-codon position.
Source: RNAcentral
CGGGACGUGGCGCAGCCUGGUUUAGCGCGCCUGCUUGGGGUGCAGGAGGUCGCGGGUUCGAAUCCCGCCGUCCCGACCA